RNAcentral lists this ribosomal RNA (402 nucleotides) under uncultured bacterium. RNAcentral's name for it is "bacterial SSU rRNA". It matches the Rfam family "Bacterial small subunit ribosomal RNA", at positions 355 to 774 of the family's 1533-position model. The record is from RNAcentral.
UCGGGAAUCUUGGGCAAUGGGCGAAAGCCUGACCCAGCAACGCCGCGUGAGGGAUGAAGUAUUUCGGUAUGUAAACCUCGAAAGAAUGGGAAGAAUAAAUGACGGUACCAUUUAUAAGCUCCGGCUAACUACGUGCCAGCAGCCACGGUAAUACGUAGGGAGCAAGCGUUGUUCGGAUUUACUGGGCGUAAAGGGCGCGUAGGCGGCGCGGUAAGUCACUUGUGAAAUCUCUGAGCUUAACUCAGAACGGCCAAGUGAUACUGCUGUGCUAGAGUGCGGAAGAGNCAACCGGAAUUCUUGGUGUAGCGGUGAAAUGCGUAGAUAUCAAGAGGAACACCUGAGGCGAAGGCGGGUUGCUGGGCCGACACUGACGCUGAUGCGCGAAAGCCAGGGGAGCAAACG